RNAcentral lists this ribosomal RNA (271 nucleotides) under uncultured bacterium. RNAcentral's name for it is "partial 16S ribosomal RNA". It matches the Rfam family "Bacterial small subunit ribosomal RNA", at positions 43 to 304 of the family's 1533-position model. The record is from RNAcentral.
GAAUUCGAUAGUGAUUCAGGCGUAACACAUUCAAGUGAGAGCGAUUCUGUUCGGAGAAGACCGGCGGAUCGGGUGAGUAACGCGUGGGUAACCUGCCCUGUACACACGGAUAACAUCACCGAAAGGUAUGGUAAUACGAGAUAACAUUCUUUUAUCGCAUGGUAGAAGUAUCAAAGCUCCGGCGGUACAGGAUGGACCCGAGUGUGAUUAGAUAGUUGGUAAGGUAUCGGCUUUCCAAGGGGACGAUCAGUAGCCGACCUGAGAGGGUGAU